This is a long non-coding RNA of Gossypium arboreum, 144 nucleotides long. RefSeq lists it as uncharacterized. Lineage: Eukaryota; Viridiplantae; Streptophyta; Magnoliopsida; Malvales; Malvaceae. The record is from RefSeq and is a predicted model, not a curated record. The transcript has 3 exons.
AAAUCAUUAAUAACGAUUGUGGCAAUCAGAUCUACAAUAUAAGCUCAAGAAGCUAGAGGGGGAGAAUCAAGCAAAAGCAAAGGAAAGAACAUCGAAUAGCCGAGUUGGAACCAUUUUACCCAACACAAGGUCUCUUGGACUCGU